RNAcentral lists this ribosomal RNA (505 nucleotides) under uncultured bacterium. RNAcentral's name for it is "partial 16S ribosomal RNA". It matches the Rfam family "Bacterial small subunit ribosomal RNA", at positions 28 to 507 of the family's 1533-position model. The record is from RNAcentral.
GACGAACGCUGGCGGCGUGCCUAAUACAUGCAAGUAGAACGCACAGUUUAUACCGUAGCUUGCUACACCAUAAACUGUGAGUUGCGAACGGGUGAGUAACGCGUAGGUAACCUGCCUGGUAGCGGGGGAUAACUAUUGGAAACGAUAGCUAAUACCGCAUAAUAUUGAUUAUUGUAUGAUAAUUGAUUGAAAGAUGCUAUUGCAUCACUACCAGAUGGACCUGCGUUGUAUUAGCUAGUAGGUGAGGUAACGGCUCACCUAGGCGACGAUACAUAGCCGACCUGAGAGGGUGAUCGGCCACACUGGGACUGAGACACGGCCCAGACUCCUACGGGAGGCAGCAGUAGGGAAUCUUCGGCAAUGGACGAAAGUCUGACCGAGCAACGCCGCGUGAGUGAAGAAGGUUUUCGGAUCGUAAAGCUCUGUUGUAAGAGAAGAACGGGUGUGAGAGUGGAAAGUUCACACUGUGACGGUAUCUUACCAGAAAGGGACGGCUAACUACGUG